Molecule: RNA transcript, 3381 nt
Organism: Daucus carota subsp. sativus
Lineage: Eukaryota; Viridiplantae; Streptophyta; Magnoliopsida; Apiales; Apiaceae
Gene name: protein SPA1-RELATED 4-like
Exons: 7
Source: RefSeq, a predicted model, not a curated record
GCUACUAUCUUUCUUAUCUUUGUUUUCCUCUGGUUGUGUGUUUACAAGUGUAAAACUGUGGUGGUGCUUUGUAAUAUAUAUAAUUAGUUUGCAUGAUUUGCUAGGGGUAGCUUUAUGUGCAUAACUGCUUAUUUUUGAAGUUCUAGCUGCAGGCUCUUAUGUCUGAUCCUUUACUGUGAUUUGGAGUGAUUUUAAGUUGAUCAAAAUUGUCUUCAAAUAUUUUGUGCCUUCAGGGAAUUUGGCAAUUUUAGUUGAUUAGUGUUCUUGGUUGGUUGUGUGGCUACCAUGUGUUUCUGAUUCGAGAUGGCUGUGGGAUCGAGAAAGAUUAAAAUUAGUUUGUUUCUUGAUUGUGUGCAUUCUGUGUUGUUGCUGAUUUUGGUGGAUAAGAAUGGAAGGCUCCUCUGAUUCUUGCUGGCAGAAGUCUGACAGUUCCAGAGGACUUAAACGCUCCGCGGUUUCUGACAGAAACCCCUUGUCAAUUCGUGCUAAUUCUAUUAGGUCAUUAGAUGAGACGACAAAUGCUUAUGAGUAUAUUCUGGGGAGAAGGGGAGAACUUGGGUUUCCUAGAUCCUGUGAAGAGGGGAAGGCAGGUGAUCGUGAAAGAGAGCGGACUGAUGUCAGCUUGAGGCAGUGGCUGGACAACCGUGACAGAGCGGUGGCUGCCCCUGAAUGCUUACACAUUUUUAGGCAGAUAGUAGAGGUGGUCUCUCUAGCACAUUCGCAGGGUCUUGUGGUUCAUAAUGUUAGGCCCUCCUGCUUUGUCAUGUCCUCAUUCAACCACGUCUCUUUUAUUGAGUCCGCUUCUUGCUCAGAUUCAGGCUCAGAUUGUGAUUCAGAUAACCAAACAGCAGAUUCAGGGGGGCCUGGUUUGCCUUCCUCGCGUGAGCCAGGUCACCACAAUAGACAGCUAGGGAAAGAAAGUUCUUCUCACAGUAUAAAUCAGAGAAAUGCUUCACAGAUGAGAUCAGGAAGUAGCUGUUUGCAGUCGGGCUCUGAGAAUUUAACCAAUGCAUCAGCAAAAGCUAGUAAUGCUUACCAAACUGAUGUAAAGGCUCCUCAAUUUCCAAUGAAACAAAUCUUGCGAAUGGAAACAAAUUGGUAUACGAGUCCAGAAGAGGUCUCUGGCGCUCCAAGUUCUUGUGCUUCUGAUAUAUAUCGUUUGGGGGUACUCCUUUUUGAGUUGUAUUGUACAUUUAGCUCAGCAGAAGAGAAGUGCGGGACAAUGUCUAAUCUGAGACAUCGCGUCCUUCCUCCACAAUUGCUGCUCAAGUGGCCUAAAGAAGCUUCAUUUUGCUUAUGGCUGUUGCAUCCUCAGCCUACUAGUAGGCCAAAGUUGGGUGAAUUAUUGCAAAGUGAGUUUCUUAAUGAGCCGAGAAAUGACUUGGAAGAACGUAAAGUGGUUUCAGAUCUUAAAGAGAAGAUAGAGGAGCAGGAGUUAUCUCUAGAGUUCCUUCUACUGAUGCAACAAAGGAAACAGGAAGCUACAGAUAAAUUGUGUGAGAUGGUAUCGUUUAUUUCAUCUGAUAUAGAUGAAGUAAAAAAAUUGCAGCAUGAGAGCAAAGGACGGUCCAGUUCAAAGAAGAAUCCUUCUGACUCCACUUUAUGCGCGUCUUCAAUUGAAAAUAACGAUUCUGGCUGCUUAAAUUCUAGAAAACGGCCCAGGCCAGGGUCUCAGAAUUAUAACGCUCAAGAAGUAGAUGGUGGUAACGACGUUUAUCAGAACUCAGAAGCUCCCACUGACAAGCAAGACAAAAUGAUAUCCAGAAGUACUCGUUUGAUGAGAAAUUUCCAGAAAGUAGAAUCCGCUUACUUGUUAACUAGGCGCAGGGCUGGCAGACCAACAGAAAAGCCAUUCAGAAAAAAUUCAUCUUUGAGUAUUGCUGGUAGAGGAUCUGUUGUUGCCAGUGAAAGAAGUCCUCUCAACAGUUUGCCAGUCGUAGAGAAUUAUGGGGAGAGCAGGAGGAUUGAUGGAUGGAUCGAUUCGUUCUUGGAGGGGCUUUGCAAGUAUUUAACGAUCACAAAAGUUAAGGUUAAAGCAGAGCUGAAGCAAGCUGAUCUUUUGAAUUCAUCUAAUCUGGUAUGCUCUUUAGGUUUUGAUCGCGAUGGAGAAUUUUUUGCAACAGCUGGAGUGAAUAAGAAGAUAAAAGUAUUUGAAUACGGUACAAUCCUAGAUGAAGACCGUGAUAUCCAUUACCCCGUUGUUGAAAUGUCUAGUCGAUCAAAGCUAAGUAGUAUAUGCUGGAAUGGCUACAUCAAAAGCCAGAUCGCUUCCAGUAACUUUGAUGGCGUUGUGCAGGUAUGGGACGUUGUGAGAAAUCAAGUGUUCACAGAAAUGAAAGAGCAUGAGAAGCGCGUGUGGUCUGUAGACUACUCAAUGGCGGAUCCAACUUUGUUGGCCAGCGGGAGCGAUGAUGGCUCUGUUAAGCUCUGGAAUAUCAAUCAGGCAAUAAUAUACUUGCAUUUGGUGGCUGUCAGCUUUGAAACUAAACGGAGUCAGCGUGGCCACGAUCAAAACUAAAGCCAAUGUCUGCUGUGUCCAGUUCCCCUCAGAUUCCAGUAACUAUCUGGCAUUUGGUUCUGCAGAUCAUAAUAUCUAUUAUCAUGAUCUUCGGAACUUGAAAACGCCUCUAUGCACGUUGGUUGGUCACAACAAAACCGUGAGCUACAUCAAGUUCAUUGAUUCAAAGAAUCUGGUGUCUGCAUCAACGGAUAAUACCCUGAAGAUGUGGGAUUUGUCAGCUUGCACUUCCCGAGUUCUUGAUUGUCCUCUUCAGUCGUUUACAGGUCACGCGAAUGUAAAGAACUUUGUAGGUUUAUCCAUAUCUGAUGGCUACAUCGCGACAGGCUCAGAGACGAAUGAGGUUUUCAUCUACCAGAAAGCAUUUCCAAUGCCUGCUUUAUCAUUCAAAUUCGACAACCCAGACCCGCUCUCUGGUGAUGAAUUAGACGACAGUGCACAAUUCAUCUCGUCUGUCUGCUGGCGCAGUCAGUCCUCCACUUUGCUUGCUGCAAAUUCAAUGGGAAACAUAAAGCUACUCGAGAUGGUUUAGGUUGCUCAGUUGGCUCCAUAAGUAAUGGUACAAUUCGAGAAGAAAUGAAACUGCUUCCCCAGUACUUGCAGUUCAGGACUGAGCAGCUACAAACAAACAUGGUUGAUCUACAGGGCUCGUGAAGACGAGAGAAGAUCUAGAUCAAGUGAACAUGUUGUAAUGAGCUCUAAUGAUUCUUUCAAAGUGAACAAUAUCACAAUGAUUCUUCUGAUCAAUUCAUUGUACAUAAAGAUUUUCAGGGAAAGGAGAAAAGGGUGAACAUUGUGCUUCACUUUUUUACAUUAUGUAACUUCUACAAUAUAUCAAAACAUUACAAGCCUUAGUCACUAAA